RNAcentral lists this ribosomal RNA (490 nucleotides) under uncultured bacterium. RNAcentral's name for it is "partial 16S ribosomal RNA". It matches the Rfam family "Bacterial small subunit ribosomal RNA", at positions 30 to 507 of the family's 1533-position model. The record is from RNAcentral.
AUUGAACGCUGGCGGCAUGCCUUACACAUGCAAGUCGAACGGCAGCAUGAUCUAGCUUGCUAGAUUGAUGGCGAGUGGCGAACGGGUGAGUAAUUCAUCGGAACGUGCCCUGUAGUGGGGGAUAACUAGUCGAAAGAUUAGCUAAUACCGCAUACGACCUGAGGGUGAAAGUGGGGGACCGCAAGGCCUCAUGCUAUAGGAGCGGCCGAUGUCUGAUUAGCUAGUUGGUGAGGUAAAGGCUCACCAAGGCGACGAUCAGUAGCUGGUCUGAGAGGACGAUCAGCCACACUGGGACUGAGACACGGCCAAGACUCCUACGGGAGGCAGCAGUGGGGAAUUUUGGACAAUGGGCGAAAGCCUGAUCCAGCAAUGCCGCGUGUGUGAAGAAGGCCUUCGGGUUGUAAAGCACUUUUGUCCGGAAAGAAAUGGCUCUGGUUAAUACCUGGGGUCGAUGACGGUACCGGAAGAAUAAGGACCGGCUAACUACGUG